AUACGGAGGGUGCAAGCGUUAUUCGGAAUCACGGGGCGUAAAGGACGCGUAGGCGGGUUGGCAAGUCAGAUGUGAAAUCCUACAGCUUAACUGUAGAACUGCAUUUGAAACUGCUAACCUAGAGUAUGGGAGGGGGAGAUGGAAUUGGUGGUGUAGGGGUAAAAUCCGUAGAUAUCACUAGGAAUACCGAAAGCGAAGGCGAUCUCCUGGAACAUAACUGACGCUAAGGCGUGAAAGCGUGGGGAGCAAACAGGAUUAGAAACCCUAGUAGUCC
Molecule: ribosomal RNA, 274 nt
Filed under: uncultured bacterium
Lineage: Bacteria
Description: partial 16S ribosomal RNA
Rfam family: Bacterial small subunit ribosomal RNA
Source: RNAcentral